Molecule: RNA transcript, 3189 nt
Organism: Varroa destructor (honeybee mite)
Lineage: Eukaryota; Metazoa; Arthropoda; Arachnida; Mesostigmata; Varroidae
Source: RefSeq, a predicted model, not a curated record
GAGCUAAAGGCAGACAGACAGGCAGGGCGGUUAGUGAGCUGUGAGCACCACCAGCAGCGGCUAUGAUAACAGCGCUGAAUGAGCGACAAACGGAGCACCGAUGAAGACGUGCAGGGAGAACAGGCAGACUGCUGUGUAGCGAGUGGUGGAGCAACAUCGCGCAACCAGUCGCGAGUAAGUAGCGGAUGAGCGAUCCACGAUUCUGCUUACCCGGCUAUUAUCGACGACUAGCGACAGAGCGUCGGUAGAAGUACUGGACUAAUAGAUAGAGUGCGGAACAAACGUUGUGCGCUGGUGGCGGAGAUUGGCGAUAUCUUUUGUGGCAACAAAACGCGCUGGUUCGACGCUGCGCCAGCAGAAUCGCUGGUUUGUCCCUACUUGUUAUUUUGGCGAUAGUGCUGACAGAACCGGAGAGCUCCGCGAUUGCUUCUGUUAUUGGGCUGUUCGGCGUAUUUGCUGAUCUCGUCUGCUAACUGGGCGGCGAGAAUCUUGGAAGAAGUACGCUGUUUACGAGUGCAACGAAGUUCAGGAGUGCAGUAAAUCAGGGGGUGCAAGAAAUCAGGAGUGCUGUGUAUUCUAUAAUUGACGAUAACAAUAAGUUCAACGCAAGAAAGCCUCGUUGGUUCCUAACGCUGUCAUAGCGUGUGCGUGUGUAUGUGUAUUUAUCAGUAUUCUAAAGUUCUGAAGAAGACUAGAAUUUAGUCGGGGCAAGCGUGCUCAAUUUAACAACGACACAUGGUACGAAAACGGUUAAAAGUUAAAGCGAGUUUGGUGCAGCCUUUACGAAUAGAAAAGCUAGAAGAUUAAUUCGAAGGCGAGUGCUUACAAUUUCGAGUAGAAAGUGUAACCAGCCAAUGAGGGCUGAUGUCCUACUGUAGUUGUGAAUCAUAAAAGUUACUAGCUCAACAUAUAUUCUUGUCAUUUCUUUAAUGAAGUGGUAACGGUUUUCGGCAUCAUUGUUGGCCUGUAUACAGUGCUGCUGAAGGCUUAACAGCAACCGCCCUCAUACCUCAACCGGUAGUUUAAGUAAUUGAAAAAACACUCUGUUAAGAGACGGUAAUCGGGGAAGCAUUCACGCAACGUUUUCCACUAUCAGCCAUUUAAUAGUACGCCCAAGCUGUUGGAUUGAAGUGAUUGAGAAGCCUGCUCCGGUGCGCAGAUUCCCUUUCCUACGUCCGAUCACCAAACCUCCAACAAAAUUUUGACUAGACAAGUAGAGGGUGGGGCGUCAACAGCUGACGUUCUACGUCGGCUUCUGGAUCUGAUGGACUACCUAGCACCGCGGUCCAUCAUGAUUCAGACGCAGUGCCUGCAGACGGCCACUAGCGGCACCAACAACAACAACAAUAAUAACAACAACCACACGUCGUCGAAAUCAUCGAAGAUCUCAUUUUCUGUGGCCUCGCUUUUGCGAGCAUCGUCGCCCGCCGUCAAAGACGAACGUCCAGCAUCGAGAGACUCCGCUGACCCCGAUCAUGAUCACCUACCACCACGUCCUGAUAGUCAAGAAUACAAAGACUACAAGGAACGGGACACGAGCCAAGAUGACGAGCCCGAACUUCACGUCGCCACUGACGACGACGAAGAUCACGGCUCGCCGUCACCGUCACCCUGUGAGAUGACCACCGACUCGAACGACCAUGUUGAUGACGCGCCGGCAACACCCAUCAACCUCUCAUCGAGUACCACGAACACAGUUACCCUGUUCGAAAACAGCCACGAGAGGCAAGCGGCAUUCUCGGUCGAUGGAUUGCUGCGAGCACCUCACAUUGGACAGAUCGCGCAGCUUGAUGCUGAGACCGCGGCAGCACUUCGUCUACCCGAGGGGUUUCCUGCAGCGAUGCUGCCGCCACAACUAGCACCUUGGGCGGCACAGGCGGCCGCCCUCACCGCGGGCACGUUUCCUUGGCUACCACAGAGACCUUUCUCACCGAAAAAUGGCGAGCUACCGAAGAUACCUCCACAGGCAAUGAAAUGCGCCUUGCGAAAGCACAAAAAUAACCGAAAACCUCGUACGCCAUUCACGACCCAACAGUUGUUGUCACUUGAGCGAAAAUUUCGGGCCAAGCAAUAUCUGUCAAUAGCGGAACGGGCCGAAUUCUCUUCGUCGCUCAACCUCACUGAGACCCAAGUGAAGAUUUGGUUCCAGAACCGACGUGCGAAGGAAAAACGGCUGAAAGAAGCCGAAAUCGAGAAGCUUCGGCUUGCCGCACGUCCAGCGCUCCUGCCAGCAGCCGCCGCCGCCUUCGCACUGGGCCUGUCAGGCACUCAACCUCCGCCGUUUAUCCCUGGAAUGUCGGCACAUAUUCCACCUCCACGACUUCUAUCAGGCCCAUUUAGUCAGGCCUCCACUCAGGCACAGGUUCAAGGCCAGGCUCAAUCCGCUGGACAGGCCAGCAACCCCAGUGGGGGUGCCUCUGUAGCUGCCACCCCAAUGAAGUUGUUGUCUGUCAAGUCGGACGGAGGUCCAGGAAGCAGGACACUAGCGAAGAAUGACGGCUCAAGUCGAUCUCCAUCGCCACCCACAAGCAGCACAUAGGGACACAGCAACGACGGUCGCGUCGCAAGUAGCUGAUAAAGAUGUGACACGUCCAUGAUGAUGCUGUUGAUUGGCGAAUAAGUGGUUGUUGAGAAAACAUCGGCACAUGCACGAAACGAAGACUGGAAAAUUCGUCUAUGCCGUCAUCUUUGUUAGCCCGUUUCACUUUGUGCUCCAUCGUGAUCGUCUUUACAAAGUUGGCACGUACGGUCUCUCUGGCGAGUGUCUAUGGUUAGCUACGAGGUGAACUUUCUUCGGCUUCGGAAGACAGGAAAAUAGGCAUAUGCAUUCGGUGGACGAACGUAUCUCAAAUUCACCGAAAAAGAAAAAAAAUACUAAUAGAAGCAUCGGUAGAGCCUAGCAUUUUCCUAUAGAUACGUGCGGACGGAAAAAUGAAGGUGACAAAGAACCAUCAGAUGAAAAUUCGGACCCUAAUAAUCUUCGACGCCAGCAGACAUCGACCAGCAAUGCAUUUGUGAGAGAUGAACGAAAAAAUAUUUGGGUUUCAUCGACACAACGGCUGAUAGGUGACGUACUAUUAUGAUACACAUACACGUGCUCUAAACCAACAGCCAACGACAAGAGACAGAAUAAUACGUUGAAAAAUCAACACAAAUUUACAAAUAAAGUGUGAACAAACAAGACGAUGG